RNAcentral lists this transfer RNA (73 nucleotides) under Candidatus Woesearchaeota archaeon. RNAcentral describes it as "tRNA-Val". It matches the Rfam family "tRNA". Rfam says of the family: Transfer RNA (tRNA) molecules are approximately 80 nucleotides in length. Their secondary structure includes four short double-helical elements and three loops (D, anti-codon, and T loops). Lineage: Archaea; Nanobdellati; Candidatus Woesearchaeota. The record is from RNAcentral.
GGGCUUGUGGUCUAGAGGCUAUGACAUUUCCUUGACGUGGAGAAGGUCGUAGGUUCAAAUCCUACCAAGCCCA